This 1235-nucleotide ribosomal RNA is filed under the name metagenome. Its description in RNAcentral is "SSU rRNA". It matches the Rfam family "Eukaryotic small subunit ribosomal RNA", at positions 519 to 1777 of the family's 1831-position model. The record is from RNAcentral.
UACACUUUAAAUCCUUUAACGAGGAUCUAUUGGAGGGCAAGUCUGGUGCCAGCAGCCGCGGUAAUUCCAGCUCCAAUAGCGUAUAUUAAAGUUGUUGCGGUUAAAAAGCUCGUAGUUGGAUCUCGGUUUCACUCAGGUGGUACACCUUGCGGUGUUCACUAUCUGGGUGGACGUUUCUGUUGGUUCGCUCUUGGUGCUCUUCAUCGGGUGCCAUUUGGUGGCCAGCACGUUUACUUUGAAAAAAUUGGAGUGCUCAAAGCAGGCGUUACAGCCUGAACAUUAGUGCAUGGAAUAAUGGAAUAGGAUCUCGAUUCUAUUUCGUUGGCUUUCGGAGUCGAGGUAAUGAUUAAUAGGGACAGACGGGGGCAUUCGUACUGCGACGUUAGAGGUGAAAUUCUUGGAUCGUCGCAAGACGAACUACUGCGAAAGCAUUUGCCAAGAAUGUUUUCAUUAAUCAAGAACGAAAGUUAGAGGUUCGAAGGCGAUCAGAUACCGCCCUAGUUCUAACCAUAAACGAUGCCAACCGGCGAUCCGUCGUCGUUAAUUGAAUGACUCGACGGGCAGCCUCCGGGAAACCAGAGUGUUUGGGUUCCGGGGGAAGUAUGGUUGCAAAGCUGAAACUUAAAGGAAUUGACGGAAGGGCACCACCAGGAGUGGAGCCUGCGGCUUAAUUUGACUCAACACGGGAAAUCUCACCAGGCCCGGACACCGGAAGGAUUGACAGAUUGAGAGCUCUUUCUUGAUUCGGUGGGUGGUGGUGCAUGGCCGUUCUUAGUUGGUGGAGCGAUUUGUCUGGUUAAUUCCGAUAACGAACGAGACUCUGGCCUACUAACUAGAAGGUCUAUCCUUUAUGGGUAGGCCUCUGCUUCUUAGAGGGACGGGCGGCGUUUAGCCGCACGAGAAUGAGCAAUAACAGGUCUGUGAUGCCCUUAGAUGUUCUGGGCUGCACGCGCGCUACACUGAAGGAAUCAGCAUGUUCUCCCCUCCCUGAAAAGGGCGGGUAACCCGUUGAAACUCCUUCGUGAUGGGGAUUGGAGAUUGUAAUUAUUCUCCAUGAACGAGGAAUUCCCAGUAGGCGCGAGUCAUCAGCUUGCGUCGAUUACGUCCCUGCCCUUUGUACACACCGCCCGUCGCUACUACCGACCGAGUGAUUUAGUGAGGACUUCGGACUGGUCUUCAAGUUGGCUUCGGUCGGCUCGAAGUUCCGGAAAGAUGCCCAAACUUGAUCACUUAGA